GACGGAGGGUGCUAGCGUUGUUCGGAAUUACUGGGCGUAAAGGGCUCGUAGGCGGCCAACUAAGUCGGAUGUGAAAUCCCCAGGCUUAACCUGGGAACUGCAUCCGAUACUGGAUGGCUUGAAUCCGGGAGAGGGAUGCAGAAUUCCAGGUGUAGCGGUGAAAUGCGUAGAUAUCUGGAGGAAUACCGGUGGCGAAGGCGGCAUCCUGGACCGGCAUUGACGCUGAGUGAGCGAAAGCCAGGGGAGCAAACGGG
This 254-nucleotide ribosomal RNA is filed under the name uncultured bacterium. RNAcentral's name for it is "partial 16S ribosomal RNA". It matches the Rfam family "Bacterial small subunit ribosomal RNA", at positions 524 to 776 of the family's 1533-position model. The record is from RNAcentral.